Molecule: ribosomal RNA, 253 nt
Filed under: uncultured bacterium
Lineage: Bacteria
Description: partial 16S ribosomal RNA
Rfam family: Bacterial small subunit ribosomal RNA
Source: RNAcentral
UACGUAGGGGGCAAGCGUUGUCCGGAAUCAUUGGGCGUAAAGCGCGUGUAGGCGGCCCGGUAAGUCCGCUGUAAAAGUCCAGGGCUCAACCCUGGAAGGCCGGUGGAUACUGUCGGGCUCGAGUCCGGAAGAGGCGAGUGGAAUUCCUGGUGUAGCGGUGAAAUGCGCAGAUAUCAGGAGGAACACCAGUGGCGAAGGCGGCUGGCUGGACCAGUACUGACGCUGAGGCGCGAAAGCCUGGGGAGCGAACAGG